RNAcentral lists this ribosomal RNA (262 nucleotides) under uncultured archaeon. RNAcentral describes it as "partial 16S ribosomal RNA". It matches the Rfam family "Archaeal small subunit ribosomal RNA", at positions 748 to 1009 of the family's 1478-position model. The record is from RNAcentral.
CAGCCGUAAACUAUGCUCGCUAGGUGUCAGGCAUGGCGCGACCGUGUCUGGUGCCGCAGGGAAGCCGUGAAGCGAGCCACCUGGGAAGUACGGCCGCAAGGCUGAAACUUAAAGGAAUUGGCGGGGGGAGCACAACAACGGGUGGAGCCUGCGGUUUAAUUGGACUCAACGCCGGGAAGCUCACCGGAUAAGACAGCGGAAUGAUUGCCGGGCUGAAGACUCUGCAUGACUAGCUGAGAGGAGGUGCAUGGCGUAGACGUGU